AACGAACGCUGGCGGCAGGCUUAACACAUGCAAGUCGAACGCUCGUGGCAACACGGGAGUGGCGGACGGGUGAGUAACGCGUGGGAACGUGCCCUGAGGUUGGGAAUAACUGCGGGAAACUGCAGGCUAAUACCUGAUGCGCCCCGAGAGGGGAAAGAUUUAUCGCCUUGGGAGCGGCCCGCGUCGGAUUAGCUAGUUGGUGGGGUAACGGCCUACCAAGGCUUCGAUCCGUAGCUGGUCUGAGAGGACGAUCAGCCACACUGGGACUGAGACACGGCCCAGACUCCUACGGGAGGCAGCAGUGGGGAAUCUUGCGCAAUGGGGGCAACCCUGACGCAGCCAUGCCGCGUGAAUGAUGAAGGCCUUAGGGUUGUAAAGUUCUUUUGCCCGUGACGAUGAUGACGGUAACGGGAGAAUAAGCUCCGGCUAACUUCGUGCCAGCAGCCGCG
This 449-nucleotide ribosomal RNA is filed under the name uncultured bacterium. RNAcentral describes it as "bacterial SSU rRNA". It matches the Rfam family "Bacterial small subunit ribosomal RNA", at positions 29 to 519 of the family's 1533-position model. The record is from RNAcentral.